RNAcentral lists this ribosomal RNA (252 nucleotides) under uncultured bacterium. Its description in RNAcentral is "partial 16S ribosomal RNA". It matches the Rfam family "Bacterial small subunit ribosomal RNA", at positions 524 to 776 of the family's 1533-position model. The record is from RNAcentral.
UACGUAGGGCGCAAGCGUUGUCCGGAAUUAUUGGGCGUAAAGAGCUCGUAGGCGGCCUGUCGCGUCCGCUGUGAAAUCCCGGGGCUCAACCCCGGGCCUGCAGUGGAUACGGGCUGGCUGGAGGCAGGCAGGGGAGAACGGAAUUCCUGGUGUAGCGGUGAAAUGACGCAGAUAUCAGGAGGAACACCGGUGGCGAAGGCGGUCUCUGGGCAUUACCUGACGUGAGGAGCGAAAGUGUGGGGAGCGAACAGG